UGACACUUUAUAAGGGCCCGCCCCGUUACUGAUUUAAUUUGGUCAAGGAACACAAGCCACCAUGGGAGCAGCGGAAGCGGCGACUCGUCCGAUAAGCACUGUAUAUCUGGGACACUAUUGAUCCUUGUCGGUUGUGUUGCCUGGUCUUGUUUCUAUGUUCUGCAAUCAAUUACCAUAAAGAAAUACACAGCGGAAAUCUCUCUUCCUCC
Molecule: long non-coding RNA, 209 nt
Organism: Hibiscus syriacus
Lineage: Eukaryota; Viridiplantae; Streptophyta; Magnoliopsida; Malvales; Malvaceae
Exons: 3
Source: RefSeq, a predicted model, not a curated record